Rattus norvegicus (Norway rat) is the source of this 5662-nucleotide non-coding RNA. NCBI's taxonomy places the organism in Eukaryota, Metazoa, Chordata, Mammalia, Rodentia, Muridae. The record is from RefSeq and is a predicted model, not a curated record.
UAAUGGUGACGGAAUUCUCAGGUUCCAGAGUUCUCUGGAGAUGACAUCACAGACACUCAGAGCACUUUGCCCACCUCCUGGGUGCGUCCUACUCCAGUAAUCAUAAGCAACCGCCCCAGUUACCGUUAGGCACCCCAGGUCCUAGAUUCCUUCAGAGAAGGGGAAGGGACUUCCUUCUGUCUCAUGGGAAAUGUCCCUGGGGACAGGAACCUGACGUUGUCUUUGUGAGUUUUAGGUAUUUGAUACCUGCUGGUGUCUGCAGGGAAGAACCGAGAGGCGGGCGCUGCUCAAGGGCCAACGGCUUAACAGAAAGCGACGCCGGUUGCUGAUUUUCUUGUCUGGGUCUCUGCGGAUGAACACCUGAUUGCCUUGAGAAAGGGCCUAUCACUGAACUGGAAGCUUGUCAUUUGAGCUAUUGACUGGCCAGAGAUCUCUCAGAAUCCCCUUCCCAAUCCAAUCCCAGAGUUACAGGUAUGUACAGCCAGGCCAGCUUUUAAUGUGGCCACUGGGGAUUUGAAAUUAGGUCCUAAGUCUUACAGAGGAAGUACUCUUCCUCACUGAACUUUCUCCCCAGAUCCCAGGAAUCGCAUCUUAAAUCUGUUCUUUAUUCAGAGAGGUUGAUAAUCGGGAAAUAUGGUGGAUUAACGUAAUAGAUGCCUGUCUUGUGCCUAAUUUUCAGCGAGCAGAUAUAUAUGUUUACAUCUGGAGAAGGGAGUGGCUGUCAGUCAUUCAGGAUCUUGGCUCACCUCUCCGGUCAGGUGGUCAGCCUGACAUUUCUGAGACUCUUGAUGUCUGUUUCUUGCUAUUGUCCCUCCUGUCCUUCUCCCCUCCUGUGGAUGUUUGGGUUUAAUCAAUUCUCGAAACAAAGAGCCAUGUCCAUUCCUGCUGUCACCAACUUUCAGUUUCCCCCAGGGACAUUUGAGCUGGGGUGGGGAUAACUCAGAACAAACGAAGCAUAGACGCUAAGCUAACAAUAACGGGCCUGCAGAUUUCUCUCUGUGCAUGGAAUUCCCCUGUCCAUCCCUUCUGUUCCUUAUUAAUCCUGAUACAAUUUGCCAACUGCCACCUUAGGGAGGCUCUGUGACUGUGAUAGUUUUAUUUGUCAACUUGACACAAUCUAGUAUUACCAGGGAGAAGGACCUUGGAGAAUUUCUGAGACGCAUUACCUUAAUUUGCAUUGAAAGACCCACCCGCCAUGGGUGGCAUCAUUUCCUAUGCUUGGGACCUGGACUGAAUAAAAAGGAGUUGAGGACCAGCAUGUAUACCUGAGUACAUGUGUUCCUUCUCUCUUCUGAUUAUGUAACUUCCCUGCUCUGAUGGCCUGCAGCCUAGAAUUGUGAACCCAAUAAUUUUUCUUUCUUCAGUUGCUGUUGGCAGGGUAUUUCACAGUUGUAAAUGAAACUAAUGUAAUUAUCCACACAUGUAAGGAAUCUGGAGUCUUAAGAAAUUGACCACACAAUUCAAAGUGUUUAGCAGGAUAAAGGAUCAUUUCUGUAGAAGGGUGUGCAGCCUUGAUUCAUCAAGUAAACACACCCAGUGGGAUCCCACUAGGUUUUUCUUCCUAAUGCAAAAUUGGUCCUGUGCCUCACUCUUGAUUGGUCAGAGCUAAGCCUCACCUUUUUACCUGAUUGGCUAACUAAAGCAGUGUGGUUUCUAGGGAGAAAUAACUUAAACAUACAUUUGGAUUAUAAAAAGUGCUGACCCUGGGGGGAAUUUGAAUUUCUACCAGGCAACUUCUUUACAACAUUUUAAAUGGUGUUUUGCUUCAUUUAACUCUUCAAUAAGAAAGACAGUGCAUUUUUAUUUUUAUUUCUCCCCUCGCCGGGGAAACCAGCCACGUUUGCCCACACUGCACACAGGCUGGUCCACAUGAUGACCAGAAGCCAUACCUUAACCAUGUCAUGACAGAAGCACAAUAUAUCUCAGAAUAAUGGAUCACCAGCCUUUCAUGUGACCAAGUGUGACUGUCUGAGGUGAGGAGUGAGUCCCCAGCACAGUGGCAGGCUCCUGACAGUUACUCAGAAGUUGUGACUGUCAGCACCUAGGCCCUCAGCAGCUCGUGUAGGCUCACCUUCUUGCAAAGUCUUAACAGUGGGAGCAGGGGCCAUCUCUGACUCUGUUGCCUGUGCAUGGGAGCCUCUCCCCUCACUGGGUUGCAUGCUCCAGCCUUAAUAGAAGAGGAGGUGCCCUGUAUUAAUGCAAACUGAGAAGCCAGGGCUGCUAAAUAUAUAUGAGAGGCCUGCCCUAUUCUGAAGAAUGAAGGAGGAACCGUUAGAGAUGAUGCGGAUAGUGUUGGUGGAGAGAGAAAGAGAGAGGGAAGUCAGAGAGGAGGGGAGGGAUGGAGGGAGGGAGGGACAGAGACAGACAGAAACACUGAGAGACAGACAGAGUAAGAUGUAGAGAGACACAAAGACAAACAGAGACACACAACAACUGGCAGAUUCACACAGAAACAGAGAGGGAGAACAGAAGAAGCAUUCAAGAACACAAAAGUAAGGGGUUGUUUCUAUGAAUGUUAUUUUAAGGGCCUUUAUGAAGUUUCCCUCCCCUCUUUAGGGUUGGUCAGUUGCAAAAAUGACUAUAUCGGUGACUGGCUUAUAGGUUUGGCAUAAACAUGUCCUGAUCAGCCAGAAUUCAAGACCUGUACCUAAACAUAGUAAAAGUAAUAUACAGCAAACCAGCAGCCCACAUCACACUAAAUGGAGAAAAACUUGCAGCAAUCCCACUGAAAUCAGGGGACUAGACAAGCUUUCUACUCUCUCCCUACCUAUUCAAUGUAAUUCUUGAAGUCCUAAGCAGAGCAAUUAGACAAGAAAGGGAUGUCAAAGGGAUACAAAUUGGAAAGGAAGAAGUCAUAAUACCACUAUUUGGAGACGAUACGUGAGUAUACUUAAGUGACCCCAAAAAUUCCACCAGAGUACUCCUACAGCUGAUAAACAACUUCAGCAAAGUAGUUGGAUAUGAAGUUAACUCAAACAAAUCAGUAGACUUCAUCUACUCAAGGAUAAACAGGCUGAGAAAGAAAUGGCACCCUUCACAAUAGCCACAAAUACUAUAAAAUACCUUGGUGUGACUCUAACCAAGCAAGUGAAAGAUCUAUAUGAUAAGAACGUCAAGUCUUUGAAGAAAGAAAUCAAAGAUGAUCUCAGAAGAUGGAAAGAUCUCCCAUGCUCAUGGAUUAUUAGCAGGAUUAAUGUGGAAAAAUGGCCAUCUUGCCCAAAGCUAUCUACAGAUUCAAUGCAAUCCCCAUCAAAAUUCCAACUCAAUUCUUCAUAGAAUCAGAAAGAUCAAUUUGCCAAUUCAUUUGGAAAAGAAAAAAAAACUUAGGAUAGAGAAAACUAUUCUCAACAAUAAAAGAACUUCUGGGGAAAUCCUCAUCCCUGACCUAAAGCUGUAUUACAGAGCAAUCAUGAUAAAACUGCAUGAUAUUGGUACAGAGACAGGCAGGUAAAUCAAUAGAAUAGAAUUGAAGACCCAGAAAUGAACCCACACACCUAUGGUCACUUGAUCUUUCACAAAGGACCUAAAACUAUCCAAUGUAAAAAAGACAGCAUUUUCAACAUAUGGAGGUGUUUCAACUGGAGGUCAGCAUGGAGAAGAAUGCAAAUUCAACCAUUUCUUAUCUCCUUGUACAGAGCUCUAGUCCAAGUGGAUCAAAGACCUCCACAUAAAACCAGAUACACUGAAACUAAUAGAAGAGAAAGUAGGGAAGAGCCUUGAACACAUAGACACAGGGGAAAAUUUCCUGAACAGAACACCAAUGGCUCAUGCUUUAAGAUCAAGAAUCCACGAAUGGGACCUCAUAAAAUUGCCAACCCUCUGUAAGGGAAAGGACACGAUCAAUAGGACAAAAUGGCAACCAACAGAUUGGGAAAAGUUCUUUACCAAUCCUACAUCUGAUAGAGGGUUAAUAUCUAAUAUAUACAAAGAACUCAAGAUACUAGACUCCAGAGAAUCAAAUAAUCCUGUUAAAAAUGGGGUACAGAGAUAAACAAAGAAUUCUCAACAGAAGAAUCCCGAAUGACUGAGAAGCACCUAAGAAAUGUGCACCCAACUAAUGAGCCAACCUCUGUGCUUGAAUUAGGGAAAAGCUGGAGGAAGCUAAGGAGGAAGUCAAUCCUGCAGGUGGACCAGUUGCCUCAAUUAACCUGAACGAGUGAGAUCUCUCAGACACUGGAUCACCAACCAGGCAGCAUACACCAGCUGAGACCUUCAACACAUAUACAGCAGAGGACUCCUGGGUCUGGGUUCAUUCAUAGAGGAUUCACCUAACCCUCAGGAGACUGGAGGCCCCAGGAAGUUUAGAGGUCCUGUGGGGUGGGUGGAGUGAGGACUUCCUUGUGGAGGUGGGUGCGGGGGCAGGCCAGGGGUGUAGGAAGGAGGUAUAGCAUGUGGAACCCUCAGGGGUUGGACCUGAGCAGAAUAAAAUAUGGAGUGUAAAAAUGAAUAAAUAAAUAGAUAAAUUUAGAAAAAAAGUGUUCAACAUCCUUAGUCAUCAGGGAAUGGCAAGUGAAAACCACCCUGAGAUACCACCCAUACUUCACAAUCAGAAUGGCUAAGAUCAAAACCUCAGGUGACAGCAGAUUCUGGCAAGGAUGUGGAGAAAGAGGAACACUCCUCUAUUGUUGGUGGGAUUGAAAGCUGGUACAACCACUCUGGAAAUCAGUCUGGAGGCUCCUCCAAUAAUUGGACAUAGUUCUACCUGAAGACCUAGAUUUACCACUCCAGGGCAUAUACCCAAAAGAUGCUCCAACAUAUAACAAGGACACAUGCUCCACUAUGCUCACAGCAGCCUUAUUUAUAAUAGCCAGAAGCUGGAAAGAACCCAGAUGCCCUUCAACAGAGGAAUGGAUACAGAAAAUGUGGUACAUCUACACAAUGGAGUACUACUCAGCUAUCAAAAACAAUGGCUACAUGAAAUUAUUAGGCAAAUGGAUGGAACUUGAAAAUAUCGACCUGAGAGAGGUAACCCAGUCACAAACGAACACACAUGGUAUGCACUCACCGAGAAGUGGAUGUUAGCCCAAAAGCUUGGAGCACCUAAGAAAAAUUCACAGAUCAUAUGAAGCUCAAGAAGAAGGAAGACCAAAAUGUGAAUGCUUCAUUCCUUCUUAGAAAGAAUAAAAUACUCAGGGGAGGAAAUACAGAAACAAAGAGUGGAGCUUGGACUGGAGAAUGACAUCCUCUAGUGACUGCCCCACCUGGGGAUCCAUCCCAUAUGCAUCUAUCAAACCCAAUCACUAUUCCUGAUGCCAAGAAGUGCUUGUUGACAGAAGCCAGAUAUGGGUGUCUCCUGAGAGGCUCUGCUGGAGCCCUACUGAUACAGAUGAGGAUGGUUGCAGCUAACCAUUGGACUGAACAAGGGGAAUCCAACGGAGCAGUUAGAGAGAAGACUGAAACAGUGGAAGGAGUUUGCCAUCCCAUAAGAAGAACAACAGUAUCAACCAACCAGAUCCCACUGGAGCUCUCAGGGACCAAACCACCAACCAAUCAGCACAUGUGGAAGGACCCAUGAAUCCAGCCACACAUGUAGCAGAGGAUGGCAUUGUCCAGCAUCAUUAGGAGGAAGAGCCCUUGGUCCUGUGAAGACUUGAUUCCCCAGUGUAGGAUAAUGCCAGGGUGUUGAGGUGGGAGUGGGUGGUUAGGAGUGGAAGCAUCCUCA